Arachis ipaensis is the source of this 1722-nucleotide non-coding RNA. Lineage: Eukaryota; Viridiplantae; Streptophyta; Magnoliopsida; Fabales; Fabaceae. The record is from RefSeq and is a predicted model, not a curated record.
UAUGCCUGCUUGUUUAUUUUAGAUGAAGUAUGUAUUUCCGGCAAGGUUCUGAAAACCAAACCGGUCAUCGAACCAUUCUAACUACUGGUUCACUGGUUUAUAGGUUCAACCGAUUCGACUGUGGUUGAACUGAAAAAAACGUUUUAUAAUAAAUAUAAAUAAACUGAUAUCAUAUAACCAUGUAGGCAAACUCAACAAUUAUAUUGAAUUAGAAAAAGUAUAAGGUAUAUUGUGAAUAAUUAAACCAUCAAUAAAAUAAGCAAAUUCACAACCAUUAGGAAGGAAGAUUGAAUUAGUGAGAGGGUGAGCUUCUUACAACAGAAAAGAGGGAGAAUUGAAACAACAAUCAAUGAAACAAAUCAAACAAUGAUAGCUGCCCCUUUCUCUAUUCCUCUAUUAUAAACACACCAAAUAUAGUUAUAGUCUAACAAAUUUCAACAAAUCCAAAUUAAUAUACUCACUAGCAAGAACAAUCUCAACAGCAAGAAUCACAAUAACAAUAAUUUAAUGAAUUAACAAGAGCAAGAUUGGAAUAGAAAAACCAACAACCUAAUAACAAAAAACAAAAGCAAUCUAUAUCCCAAGAAUCACAAUAACAAUUUAAAAAAUCAACAAAUUAACAAUUUAAAAAAAAAACACAGCAACCCAAUAAUCUGAAGAACAAUAAUAGGUAUAUGAAACAAACAACAAAACUUGAAUAGAAAAAUCCAACAAAUUCAGCCACAGCAACCCAACAAUUUAACAAAUUAAGACAACAGCAGCCCAAUAAUUUAGCAAAUUAUCAACUUAACAAGUUCAAUAACAAAAAAUCACUAUAAAACCAAAAAUAUUAAAGUAAACAGAGCAACAACAUAACAGAAGUAAAAGGGUGAAGCAUAUGAAUCUUCUAAAUUGAAACAGUUAUAUGAUGAAGGUAUAGACAUAGGGUUCUUGGAGAAGAGGUGGCUGGACCGUUGAGGAACUGGAGAAGGAGUGGUUGGACCGUCGCGGAACUGGAGAAGGGGUGGCUAGAUCGUCGCGUAACUGGAGCCGUGGAGGGGUGGAGCACGGCAGAUCUGGAGCAGAGGAGGGCUGGAGCGCGGUGGACCAGAACCGACGCGGCAGAACAGCGGCUACUCCACGGAGAAACGACACGAGACGAGUUGCAGUGGGACGGCGGCUUCGAGCAUAUGCGAUGCGAUGCGAUGCGACACGACGGCUGGGACGAGCGGAGAAACGCUAAAGCAGUGGGGCGACAGCUAAACCAGAUUCGACGGCGGCGGUAGGACGGCAGCAGUGAUAGCUUGAAGAAGAGAGUAGCGAUGGAGGCUAGGGUUUUUUCUUUUGAGAGAGGGAUGCAGAGGGAAGAUGAGUGGGAGACAGAGAGGGAGACAGUGACUUGGUGUUGGUGACGCUCUUUUUAUUUUUUUCAAUUUUCUUUUUUUUAUUUAAAAUUCAAAACGGUGAGUUGAAAUGUGAAAACCGGUCGAGUCCCGGUUCGGUCCGAUCGACCGGUUCCCGACCGGUCCAACGGUCCAAUUUCGGUUUUUGAAAUGAGCGGUUAUGCUAUUUGUCGGAACCGUUUUUCUUAUCGGUUCACGGUUCGACCGGUUCAACCGGCCGGUUUGAACCAAUUUUCAUAACAUUGAUUUCCGGUUUAUAAAGUGAUUAGCGAUACGGUGUUGAGUCACAAGCUCCUAUUUUAAUAUUUAGUAUGUAAAGUAGUCGUAAUACUUCUUGCUA